Molecule: long non-coding RNA, 882 nt
Organism: Acinonyx jubatus (cheetah)
Lineage: Eukaryota; Metazoa; Chordata; Mammalia; Carnivora; Felidae
Exons: 2
Source: RefSeq, a predicted model, not a curated record
UCCAAGUGAUCCGGAAAAGUUAACACGCCUGGGAGGGGUUGAAAUCCUAACGGGGAACAUUAGCACCUACACUGAAUUGGGGUGAAGGUAGCGGUGAGGAGGGGCUACAGGAGAUCAACCGUAAAAAAGCAGGUCACUACUCUCUUUCUUCUCGGCUGCCUAGAAUAUCUCCAAUUACAGAAGGCCUCAUCUGAAGGAAAGGGGCUUUGGGGAUCACGGACAGGGAAACUGAGGCCCAAAGAGAAAGUAACUUGCCUAGGGUGACCGGGCAGAGCGCCGCCGCGGCCUCGAAGCAAACAGCAAUGCUGAUGUCGUCAAGGAUAGGGAUUAAGGAACUGCCAAGACCUCAGCCCACUGGGGGGUGGGGGGUGGGGUAGAUGACGCUGUGACGUCAAGACCCUGACUCGCCGUCAGAGGGGUCCCUUCUGCUCAAGGAGCCUGCCACCCGGCCACAAGCACUGAAGCUCGGCCCUCCUCGGGAGAAAACUGCCCCUCAACCCUCCAAGGCCACGGGAGGGGCUCCAGGGACUCCAUGACGCCACUCACACUUACUGUCACCCUAGGAAGAUGGAAGCUGGUGAAAACCGAAACUAGCCACAUCUCUGCCUGCCCAAGGCAAAAGAACCCGCAGGCAAAUCAUCAUGAUGGGAACCAAAACUACCCCUUCAAGCAACGACGAUUGCCCUGAGCCAGCAAGACCCCACGUGACCUCAAGACAACAAUGACCUGACCUUCGCUUUCCACCUGCAGUACUCUCUGACCUCUGUCCCACAUUUUCCUUACAAAACCCAGGAGUAUUUUCGGCACUUUGGAGAUUGUAUCUCAGAGGGUCCACUGUCUUCCCGGUGUUGCCCUUCCCUGAAAUAAAUUCCUUCCUUGUUC